GCUCUCCCUUCUUUCUUACAACCUAUUUUAGUUUUAGGACAAGACUUUGGGAUUUAAGACAAAGACUUAUCUGGUCCAAAAAUAUAUUAGAAAGAUCUUAAAAAAGGGCAAUCAGAAGUCCAGGAGAAGAUCUAAGAGGAUCAAAUCAGGAUCUUGGAGAAGCCUGACCGAUACAGGGCUAGUCGAGUUCUAGGAGCUAGAAUUCUUGAAGCA
Molecule: long non-coding RNA, 213 nt
Filed under: Elaeis guineensis (African oil palm)
Lineage: Eukaryota; Viridiplantae; Streptophyta; Magnoliopsida; Arecales; Arecaceae
Description: long non-coding RNA (EGUI_LNC049984)
Source: RNAcentral